Molecule: ribosomal RNA, 909 nt
Filed under: Ligilactobacillus acidipiscis
Lineage: Bacteria; Bacillati; Bacillota; Bacilli; Lactobacillales; Lactobacillaceae
Description: bacterial SSU rRNA
Rfam family: Bacterial small subunit ribosomal RNA
Source: RNAcentral
AGUGGCGAACGGGUGAGUAACACGUGGGCAAUCUGCCCAAAAGUGGGGGAUAACACUUGGAAACAGGUGCUAAUACCGCAUCAACCGGCUGACCGCAUGGUCGGCCGGGCAAAGACGGCGUCAGCUGUCGCUUUUGGAUGAGCCCGCGGCGUAUUAACUAGUUGGUAAGGUAACGGCUUACCAAGGUGAUGAUACGUAGCCGAACUGAGAGGUUGAUCGGCCACAUUGGGACUGAGACACGGCCCAAACUCCUACGGGAGGCAGCAGUAGGGAAUCUUCCACAAUGGACGCAAGUCUGAUGGAGCAACGCCGCGUGUAUGAAGAAGGUCUUCGGAUCGUAAAAUACUGUUGUCAGAGAAGAACACGUGAUAGAGUAACUGCUAUGGCGCUGACGGUAUCUGACCAGCAAGUCACGGCUAACUACGUGCCAGCAGCCGCGGUAAUACGUAGGUGGCAAGCGUUGUCCGGAUUUAUUGGGCGUAAAGGGAACGCAGGCGGUCUUUUAAGUCUGAUGUGAAAGCCUUCGGCUUAACCGGAGAAGUGCAUUGGAAACUGGAAGACUUGAGUGCAGAAGAGGAGAGUGGAACUCCAUGUGUAGCGGUGAAAUGCGUAGAUAUAUGGAAGAACACCAGUGGCGAAAGCGGCUCUCUGGUCUGUAACUGACGCUGAGGUUCGAAAGCGUGGGGAGCGAACAGGAUUAGAUACCCUGGUAGUCCACGCUGUAAACGAUGAAUGCUAGGUGUUGGAGGGUUUCCGCCCUUCGGUGCCGCAGCUAACGCACUAAGCAUUCCGCCUGGGGGAGUACGAUCGCAAGAUUGAAACUCAAAGGAAUUGACGGGGGCCCGCACAAGCGGUGGAGCAUGUGGUUUAAUUCGAAGCAACGCGAAGAACCUUACCAGGUCUUGACAU